Long non-coding RNA from Eriocheir sinensis (Chinese mitten crab), 3718 nucleotides. RefSeq lists it as uncharacterized. The record is from RefSeq and is a predicted model, not a curated record. The transcript has 5 exons. NCBI's taxonomy places the organism in Eukaryota, Metazoa, Arthropoda, Malacostraca, Decapoda, Varunidae.
GUUGUUGUUUAGCAGGUAAAGGGAAGGUACACGUCUCUUGGACUUCCUGGCCAAACCUUACUCAGUGAUUGUCAUAUCCUCGUUAAAACAUGGCCAUUAGUGUCAUUUAUCGCGUUGGGUAUUGCAAUUCAUCGUUAACACCGCGGAGUAGCUGCAGAAGGCGUUGUAGAAGGCCCAGCGCCCCCCUACCUAGGCCUCCCAUAUAUAGACCUAUGCGUAGGUGAUUUCGACAUGCGCCAGCUUGAGGUCGCCCCGUGGGGUCCUCCGCCCCAAGGGAAUGACCAGGACAUGCGCCUCCCCCUGCCAGGCAUGGUGGGGCAGAGGUGGUGGAGGUGGAGCACCGUCACACCAUGAUAACAGGUUUCCCCGUGACCCGCAUGCCGAUUUCGUUGACCAGCAGGGCGUGCAGUGCUUCUGAGAGCCCCCGCCCCAGCCCCGAGACCCGCAGGGAGACCCACUAGACUUGAGGUCCUGGUGGCACCCGACCCGAGCUACUGGUACUGCUGGUGGCUGGCGGAUGAGAUCUUCCUGACGGAUGUGGCGGCCAACUUCCUGACUGUGAGGAUCGGGGAGUGCAAGAAGCGGCCGGGGGUUUUCAAGGACACGACCGACCCAAACCAGAAUUCCCACUCGAUUAUGUGAUGUGUGGUGAUUGUGAAUAUGUCUUGACUUUGCUGGUGAAGGUUUCCAUGGCGAACAGGAUCAUACUGAAAAGAUAUUAGCAUGGAAAGAUAUUGUUGUCCUGUGUUCAUGGGAAUCCCGUAAACAAACUUGUGGGUACAGCUAUUACUGGACGCAAAAUGUUAUUGUAAAGCCUGCUGGAUACAUUUGAUGAGCAUAGAAAACCACCUAAAAAUUACAAGUCAAAACUCUGUCAUCACUUGCAGAAUUGGAAGUCCAAACAAUCUAAACUGAUACUUCAAAGGAAGCCCACAGCCUUAAGAUUACUUUAGGCAUUUGGGUUUGAGUCUAGGUGCAAAGCCAGAUUUUUAAGAAAUUUAUUUACAAAAUUGUACGGGCCAUGAACACCUCGUGUAUGACCCCCUGCUGCUCACAAGACGUACACCAAUUAACCCGGUAGCAGCGACGGGCCAGAUUUGUGGCUUUACCGUGUAGCAGCGACGGGCCAAACUUGUGCCAUGAUUUAAACCACCCAAAAUGGAUGAUACAUAAUCUGAUCACAAAUGUUUUGAUAUAUAUUAUGAAAUGGUUUGUGUGAGGGGUGAUUUUUUCUCAUUUUUCUCACUUAGAGGGACCAUUAAGAAAUAUGAUCCCUGCUGCUACCGGGUUAAAAAAAAAAAACUUCCAAUGGAGAAAAAAUAUUAUCUGGAGAAGCUCAAGAGAUACUCCUAGAGGAAGGCCAUUUCCUGAGGAGUAUUAUGCACUCUUUGUUAUGCCUGUUCGGGCAAAUACAGAUUUUUAAUGAAUAUUUUCCCACUAUAGUCUAUUCAUUUGGGCAAGGCCACUCACGGCAGCUUAGUCCCAGCAACUCCACUUCCCCCUUCUGGCUGGGUAGCUCCGAGCAGGAUGAUGUAACCUACUUGUCAUGUUAAGUAGUCAACAUAAAAUGCAUAUCUAACACAAACUGCUAAUUUCUGUUCACACAUAGAAAUUAGCAGUUUGUGUUAGAUAUGCAUUUUAUGUUGACAUUUUAAUAUUACUACUUAUGUUGACUACUUAACAUGACAAGUAGGUUACAUCAUCCAGCUCGGAGCUACCCAGCCAGAAGGGGGAAGUGGAGUCGCUGGGACUAAGCUGCCGUGAGUGGCCUUGCCCAAAGGAAUAGACUAUAGUAGUACUAUGGGUUGUGUCCAGCUCACCUGACAAUUGAAACAAUAUAACAUUUAAAAACCAUGCUAUUCCUCCUGUAUAAAAAAGAGAUGUUAUAUUUUUUUUUCCUUUUUUAGUCAUGAAAUUUCCUAUUAAGCAGAAUAUUGUUGUACACUUUGGCACUUACACGGGAGGAGGCUUUACAAACAUGUUGGUGCCCAGAUGUUUAAAAAUGCUGCUUGGAAGUCUGGAAGAGUGACUGGAAUCUGCGACUUCUCUGCUGAUGGGGGCUUCGUGGUGCAGUGGUUAGCACACUUGGCUCACAACCAAGAGAGCACGGGUUCAAUUCCCGGGCGGAGUGGAAAAAUUUGGGCAGCUUUUCCAAUACCCUACGCUCCUGUCCAUCCAACAGUGUACCAGGUAUUAAUCAGGGGUUGUGUCCCGUCUCCUGGGGUCUGUUGCCUUCUAUAAUUCCUUCCCCUUCUGUCUCUCUCCGGCAUAUGACCACAGAUGUUGCGCCCACUAAACAAAACUUUCCUUGCCUGUCUCUCGCCAACAUAUGACCACAGAUGUUGCGCCCACUAAACAAAACUUUCCUUGCCUGUCUCUCUCCGGCAUAUGACCACAGAUGUUGUGUCCACUAAACAAAACUUUCCUUGCCUGUCUCUCUCUGGCAUAUGACCACAGAUGUUGCGCGCACUAAACAAAACUUUCCUUGCCUGUCUCUCGCCGACACAUGACCACAGAUGUUGUGUCCACUAAACAAAACUUUCCUUGCCUGUCUCUCGCUGGCAUAUGACCACAGAUGUUGCGCCCACUAAACAAAACUUUCCUUGCCUGUCUCUCUCUGGCAUAUGACCACAGAUGUUGCACCCACUAAACAAAACUUUCCUUGCCUGUCUCUCCGGCACAUGACCACAGAUGUUGCGCCUACUAAACAAAACUUUCCUUGCCUGUCUCUCCGGCACAUGACCACAGAUGUUGCGCCCACUAAACAAAACUUUCCUUGCCUGUCUCUCUCCGGCACAUGACCACAGAUGUUGCGCCCACUAAACAAAACUUUCCUUGCCUGUCUCUCUCCAGCAUAUGACCACAGAUGUUGCGCCCACUAAACAAAACUUUCCUUGCCUGUCUCUCGCCGACAUAUGACCAGAGAUGUUGCGCCCACUAAACAAAACUUUCCAACUUUUUCUCUGGUGAUUUUCUGUACAGGCAGUGGUUCGGAAUGUGUACCAUACUGCCUCCAGAUAACUGUUUGAGGCUGCACCACUUCUUCCGGCCAUGGUAUUAGGGUUUCUUGCGUACUGUUUUUCCAGGCCUCUGAAAAUGGACCCAAAAUGUCAGAAUGAGUGCAUCUCUAAUGUUUAUCUCUAUGUAUAGGGAAGGGAAUUGUAUCAUAGCCUGUUAAGAAGAUAAGGUGUCUAUUGUGUAUUUCCAAGCCUCUGAAAAUGGAUCCAAAAUGUCGUAGUGAGUGCAUCUCUAAUGUUUAUCUCUUAUGUAUAAUGAGUGGAGUUUUACCAUAGCCCGCAAGGUGUUAAGAAGAGUUAUGUGUCCACUGUGUAUUUCCAGGCCUCUGAAAAUGGACCCAAAAUGUCAGAAUGAGUGCAUCUCUAAUGUUAAUCUCUAUGUAUAGGCAAGGGAUUUAUACCAUAGCCUGUUAAGAAUAUUAAGGUGUCUAUUGUGUAUUUCCAGGCCUUGGAAACUAUGACAAUGGACUGAAAACAACAUUGGAACUGGUACAAGAUAUACCCCUGAUGUCCUGUUCCUGUUCUUCCCUUGUAUAGAGAGAGAGGAGAGAAAGAACAGACAUAGUUAGUGAAGUGCUAGAGCCUUUGUUUAACCUUUCUUAUGCCUGUCUAGUGAAAAAUAAUAAUAAUAAUAAUAAUAAGAGGAAGAGAUAAUGUUAUGAGCUAUUGUGUUCUUAAGGGCUGAUUAAACUUUGCUGGUA